UUUUCAAACCAUAUUUGCAUAUCCCCGCCCCUCAACCCGCCGAGGACCGUUCCCACAGCCCAUUGGGCCGCUACCUCCUUACUUCAGUCCCAAUCAUGGAGCAGGGCCGCGACUUGCUGGUUUCCAUUGGCUGCCGUGCAUCAUGGUUACCGGGGCGACAGGGACCCUAUUUGCAUAGGCCUCCUUGAUUGGCUGGCAGAAGAGCAGUUUUUAGGGGGUGGGGCAAAGAAUUUCCUUCUCUCCCACGGAAGACCACGCCUGGCCUAGGCUCCGCCCCUGUCCCCGCCCGCCCGCCGGGCCGGCGCUACUGACCUGGGCAGGGACUCCGCGCCCCGCAGACUCAGUGUAGAUCUAGUCUAGAGCCCAAGUUUCGCUUUUGGAAAUUGUCAAGGUGACUAAGGGAACACUCUUUCCUUUGACCAGUCAGUGCAAUAAACGAACAGCGCAGGAGAUUUUUCCAGAUACGUGCCAAAGGCAAGUUGGACCAUGCGGACGAUGUCUGGCAGGUGCAAAAGGAGCCCUUUAAAUCGUGGGCUUCUCCCUUCCUGAAAUCCAACCAAUGACGCGGCGAGAGCUGAUCCCGAGGCCGGGGCUGAUAGACAGAAGCAUGUGGGCAGACAGAAUCGUGGGGGCAGAAGGUUCAGCAGACGCGAUUGCGGGCACCAGUUAACAUUCCAGAUCAUUCCCGGUACCUUCAUUAUUAGCCUGGAUAGGGGUAAAGUACAAAUUAACUCUUUUGUCUUACAACGGAUAUUGGUUUGAAUCCAGCAGACAUUCCCUCUGGCCCAGAAACACCCAGGGCAGUUAAUCAGGGCUAACCUAGAACUGAUCUACGGGUUUCUAAUCCGCCAAGCAGUAAUCCGAAAAAGUACACGCUUCCCACGAUGACGUCGUGCCCCCAACGAACGCAGGCACGCCCAGGCAUCAGCACUUUAUAUCUUCAGUUUUGUAGGAAGUUCUCUGACUGGAAGCAAACACAACGACUCAAACCUAUCCCAAAGUAUUUUUAAAAUAGUGUCUUUUUUUAAAAAGUAAACUAGAAAUUGUCAUCAGAAAAAUAUAAAAUGAUGUGU
Molecule: long non-coding RNA, 1073 nt
Filed under: Homo sapiens (human)
Lineage: Eukaryota; Metazoa; Chordata; Mammalia; Primates; Hominidae
Description: HSALNT0102308
Source: RNAcentral